CCUACGGGCGGCUGCAGUGGGGAAUAUUGGACAAUGGGCGAAAGCCUGAUCCAGCCAUGCCGCGUGUGUGAAGAAGGCCUUCGGGUUGUAAAGCACUUUCAGUGGGGAAGAAAGCCUUGGGGCUAAUACCCUCGAGGAAGGACAUCACCCACAGAAGAAGCACCGGCUAACUCCGUGCCAGCAGCCGCGGUAAUACGGAGGGUGCGAGCGUUAAUCGGAAUUACUGGGCGUAAAGCGCGCGUAGGCGGUCUGAUAAGCCGGUUGUGAAAGCCCCGGGCUCAACCUGGGAACGGCAUCCGGAACUGUCAGGCUAGAGUGCAGGAGAGGAAGGUAGAAUUCCCGGUGUAGCGGUGAAAUGCGUAGAGAUCGGGAGGAAUACCAGUGGCGAAGGCGGCCUUCUGGACGGACACUGACGCUGAGGUGCGAAAGCGUGGGUAGCAAACAGGAUUAGAUACCCGAGUAGUC
This 465-nucleotide ribosomal RNA is filed under the name Vreelandella stevensii. Its description in RNAcentral is "partial 16S ribosomal RNA". It matches the Rfam family "Bacterial small subunit ribosomal RNA", at positions 338 to 795 of the family's 1533-position model. Lineage: Bacteria; Pseudomonadati; Pseudomonadota; Gammaproteobacteria; Oceanospirillales; Halomonadaceae. The record is from RNAcentral.